UGGGGAAUUUUGGACAAUGGGCGCAAGCCUGAUCCAGCAAUGCCGCGUGCAGGAUGAAGGCCUUCGGGUUGUAAACUGCUUUUGUACGGAACGAAACGGCUCUGUCUAAUACAUGGGGCUAAUGACGGUACCGUAAGAAUAAGCACCGGCUAACUACGUGCCAGCAGCCGCGGUAAUACGUAGGGUGCAAGCGUUAAUCGGAAUUACUGGGCGUAAAGCGUGCGCAGGCGGUUAUGCAAGACAGAUGUGAAAUCCCCGGGCUCAACCUGGGAACUGCAUUUGUGACUGCAUAGCUGGAGUGCGGCAGAGGGGGAUGGAAUUCCGCGUGUAGCAGUGAAAUGCGUAGAUAUGUGGAGGAACACCGAUGGCGAAGGCAGCCCCCUGGGUCAAGAUUGACGCUCAUGCACGAAAGCGUGGGGAGCAAACA
This 427-nucleotide ribosomal RNA is filed under the name uncultured bacterium. RNAcentral's name for it is "bacterial SSU rRNA". It matches the Rfam family "Bacterial small subunit ribosomal RNA", at positions 355 to 774 of the family's 1533-position model. The record is from RNAcentral.